CUUCAAAUCUCCUACUGACCUGCAGACCCUGCAACGAAUUGUAAAUAUUAAAAUAACUUUUGAUAUCUAAUACCCAGAUAGUAGAACAUAAAUUGAGAAAUUAUAAGGUGUUAUCAUAUAAUUACCUUGUGUAGCAACAACUUGCUUUUUUCUUGGCCUAUUUGAAUCCAAGGAGGCAAUAUACUGAAGAUAAUUUUUUUUUCCAGUGCCCCUUCUUCUUGUAAUAGAAGCAUUUCGCCUGACU
RNAcentral lists this long non-coding RNA (244 nucleotides) under Elaeis guineensis (African oil palm). RNAcentral's name for it is "long non-coding RNA (EGUI_LNC065540)". Lineage: Eukaryota; Viridiplantae; Streptophyta; Magnoliopsida; Arecales; Arecaceae. The record is from RNAcentral.